RNAcentral lists this ribosomal RNA (252 nucleotides) under uncultured bacterium. Its description in RNAcentral is "partial 16S ribosomal RNA". It matches the Rfam family "Bacterial small subunit ribosomal RNA", at positions 524 to 776 of the family's 1533-position model. The record is from RNAcentral.
UACGUAGGUGGCAAGCGUUGUCCGGAAUUACUGGGCGUAAAGGCCAGUAGGCGGCCAACUAAGUCCGACGUGAAAUCCCCAAGCUUAACUUGGGAACUGCGUCGGAUACUGGAUGGCUUGAAUUCGGGAGAGGGAUGCAGAAUUCCAGGUGUAGCGGUGAAAUGCGUAGAUAUCUGGAGGAAUACCGGUGGCGAAGGCGGCAUCCUGGACCGACAUUGACGCUGAACGGCGAAAGCUAGGGGAGCAAACGGG